This 497-nucleotide ribosomal RNA is filed under the name uncultured bacterium. RNAcentral describes it as "bacterial SSU rRNA". It matches the Rfam family "Bacterial small subunit ribosomal RNA", at positions 29 to 507 of the family's 1533-position model. The record is from RNAcentral.
AGCGAACGCUGGCGGCGUGCCUAACACAUGCAAGUCGAACGGUUCUGUUGGGGCUUGCUCUCGACAGAGUAGUGGCAAACGGGUGAGUAACACGUGGGUAAUCUUCCUUCGAGUGAGGAAUAACUUCGGGAAACCGGAGCUAAUACCGCAUAACAUCUUGGAACGGCAGUUCUAAGAUCAAAGGGGGCGCAAGCUCCCGCUUGAAGUUGAGCUCGCGUCCUAUCAGCUAGUUGGUGAGGUAAUGGCUCACCAAGGCUCCGACGGGUAGCCGGCCUGAGAGGGUGGCCGGCCACACUGGGACUGAGACACGGCCCAGACUCCUACGGGAGGCAGCAGUGGGGAAUAUUGCGCAAUGGACGAAAGUCUGACGCAGCGACGCCGCGUGGGUGAUGAAGGCCUUCGGGUCGUAAAGCCCUGUUGAGGGAGAGAAAGCUACUGUCGGUUAAUACCCGGCAGUGGUGAUAGUAUCCCUAGAGAAAGCACCGGCUAACUACGUG